GGUACAUAAGAGAUAGCAGUGGGAGAUGGGAAGGGAGAGGCAGAGGCCGACCAGGACAUCAGCAUGGAAACAUUUUCAUGAUACAGCAGCUGCUAAAUGACUUAUUGGUACUAAAUCCUUACUGUACAUCAGGGAUGUGAGAAAAUCGAGGCAACCCUGUCGGAUGCUCUGUGCUUCAGCCCUGCUCUGGUCUUCUUUUGGUCUCAUUCCUUACCACUAGAACAGAUGUUCCUGAGGCCAAGAAUCUAGAUCCAAUUCAGUAUCCCAUUACCUCUUCUACACCAUCUGCAUGUACCAGGAACCCUGAAAAUCCCUAAUCCAAUGCUCUGAGCCUAUUUCUAAGGACUGAAUGGGCCUCCUCCUUUGUCUGCAAACCUCAUCUCUGACAUGUGUAUCCUUAGGACCAUAGAGCCAAAAGGAGACUGCUUGUAGUUGAGAAGCUGGUACAUGUGGCUCAGGGCAUACACAUGUACAAGAGGGAACUCAUUGUGUG
This 493-nucleotide small RNA is filed under the name Pan troglodytes (chimpanzee). Its description in RNAcentral is "processed transcript". The record is from RNAcentral. Lineage: Eukaryota; Metazoa; Chordata; Mammalia; Primates; Hominidae.